RNAcentral lists this ribosomal RNA (498 nucleotides) under uncultured bacterium. RNAcentral's name for it is "partial 16S ribosomal RNA". It matches the Rfam family "Bacterial small subunit ribosomal RNA", at positions 29 to 507 of the family's 1533-position model. The record is from RNAcentral.
AGCGAACGCUGGCGGCGUGCCUAACACAUGCAAGUCGAACGUGAAAAGGGAAACCUGAGUAAAGUGGCGUACGGGUGAGUAACGCGUAGGUAAUCUACCCCAGAAUCUGGAAUAACCUGCCGAAAGGCGGGCUAAUACUGGAUAGAGCGAGGGAACUCGUAAGAGAGUUUUUCGGGAAAGGGAGCCCGCAAGGGCCUUCGUUCUGGGAUGAGCCUGCGUCUCAUUAGCUAGUUGGUAAGGUAACGGCUUACCAAGGCGAUGAUGAGUAGCUGGUCUGAGAGGAUGAUCAGACACACUGGAACUGAAACACGGUCCAGACUCCUACGGGAGGCAGCAGUGGGGAAUCUUGCGCAAUGGACGAAAGUCUGACGCAGCCACGCCGCGUGAGUGAAGAAGGCCUUCGGGUUGUAAAGCUCUGUCGGAUGGGACGAACAUCUUCAUAGUGAAUAGCUAUGAGGACUGACGGUACCAUCAAAGGAAGCACCGGCUAACUCCGUG